This 58-nucleotide transfer RNA is filed under the name Varanus tristis. Its description in RNAcentral is "partial tRNA-His". The record is from RNAcentral. Lineage: Eukaryota; Metazoa; Chordata; Lepidosauria; Squamata; Varanidae.
GUGAGCAUAGUUUAAACCAAAACAUCAGACUGUGAACCUGACAACAGAAGCUUACACC